Long non-coding RNA from Diprion similis, 1315 nucleotides. RefSeq lists it as uncharacterized. The record is from RefSeq and is a predicted model, not a curated record. The transcript has 3 exons. NCBI's taxonomy places the organism in Eukaryota, Metazoa, Arthropoda, Insecta, Hymenoptera, Diprionidae.
AGGAAACGAAAAAAAUUUUAUUAUUAUUAUUAUUAUACAUACGAAAAGAAGCUUAUUUGUUAUGUAAUUGAAAAAGCUUAGAAAAAAUGUGAGGCAGGGAAAACGAGAGAAAAAAAGUUAGUGAGAAUAUAUUGUGUGAGAAAAGAUAUAGAAAGACAGAUAUAUAUUAUAUAUAUAUAUAUAUGUAUGUAAGGAUAUUAUUUGGAAUGAAAACAAAUCGUAAAGUAAUAAUAUAGUAAUUGUCGAUGUAAAGUGGUAGGAUGAAAAGGAACUGAGAGCGACAGAGAUACAAAGAGAGAGCUGUAAGAGGGAAAUUCAUUGUAUUAAAAUUAACUUUCAUUAUAGCCAUGUAUAAAAAAAAAAACAUACUAAAAACGAGUAACCGACACAAAUUUUCAAGAGUACGAAAUAACUUAACAGACUCAUUCAAAUAAGCAUCAUUUAAAUUAUAAUUAAUUAUAUACGCAUUACACAUUAUACACACACACACACACACACACACACAUUCCUUCGUAUAAAUGUAAAUUCGUAUUUAAAAGUUUCCCGUUAUAUUCGACAGACGACAACGUUCGUUGCGUGUCCCGAAAAUAUGUAACGAGAUGAGAAGAUAGGAAGUAGCUGGUAGAAAAUUUCGGCGAAGAGAAGAAAGAAAAAACGAAGAACAAAGUAAAAAAAAAAAAAAAAAGAAGGUACUAUACGAGACACACUGAAAAUUAACGAGGGAAAUUUUUAUUUUAAACGAAAAUCGUACUAUAAUAAUUGCACGAGUUGGACCUUGAUAUUUAUACACGUAAGGAUUUCGAGGUGGUCCAUUAAAUGAAACUCACACACACUCACACACACGUGGAAGGGCCGCGGACGAGAGCUCGGUUCCCGUAGUUAGUGUAGCCCUGUUUUCCCGCAGGACCACACUCUUCACGUCCGAAGUAUCUGUUCUCGGUCAGGAUUGCCCUCGCCUGCGGCCCAGCAUCCGCAGGACCAGGCUAUAAUAAUGGAAAUGAAUGUAGAGAGAGAAGAAAGAGAAACGUUAAUACAAAAAUAAAAGUUUGUCCAUUGCAUAGAUAUUUCGUUAUAGAUUUAAAUCGCUGCAAAGUGCCGUAAGUAUCUAAAUCUAUCUUAAAUACUUAUUAUACGCGAGAACUAAAUAACGUGUACGUCACGCGCGAAUCAACGCAAAACAUUUAGCAAAGCUGAAUAAAAUAUCGCAUUGAUUGACAUUCAUUAUUCUCACAAUUAAUAAAUAUACAUACUAAUAUGAGUUAUUUGCACAAUAUUAUAAAUAAUAACCACAUUUGUUGUUGUUGUUAUUAUUAUC